GACGAACGCUGGCGGCGUGCCUAAUACAUGCAAGUGGGACGCAAGGAAACACACUGUGCUUGCACACCGUGUUUUCUUGAGUCGCGAACGGGUGAGUAACGCGUAGGUAACCUGCCUAUUAGCGGGGGAUAACUAUUGGAAACGAUAGCUAAUACCGCAUAAUAUUAAUUAUUGCAUGAUAAUUGAUUGAAAGAUGCAAGCGCAUCACUAGUAGAUGGACCUGCGUUGUAUUAGCUAGUUGGUAAGGUAAGAGCUUACCAAGGCGACGAUACAUAGCCGACCUGAGAGGGUGAUCGGCCACACUGGGACUGAGACACGGCCCAGACUCCUACGGGAGGCAGCAGUAGGGAAUCUUCGGCAAUGGACGAAAGUCUGACCGAGCAACGCCGCGUGAGUGAAGAAGGUUUUCGGAUCGUAAAGCACUGUUGUAAGUCAAGAACGUGUGUGAGAGUGGAAAGUUACACAGUGACGGUAGCUACCAGAAAGGG
Molecule: ribosomal RNA, 488 nt
Filed under: Streptococcus mutans
Lineage: Bacteria; Bacillati; Bacillota; Bacilli; Lactobacillales; Streptococcaceae
Description: bacterial SSU rRNA
Rfam family: Bacterial small subunit ribosomal RNA
Source: RNAcentral